GUCAGGGGCCCGUGCCAUUCUGCCUUGGACUUUUUCUGCCUUGGACUUAACCACACGGAGUAGCAGCCUUGUGACUCAAUAGACCACAGACCUGCAGCUUACUUGGGUUCCCAUUUUCUUUACCUCAUAAUGCCAUGAGUGGAGCUAUUAGCAAGUCAUAGUUCACACCCCAACUUUCCAGUAUUUUCCCUAAUUCUUGCUCGAUCAGAGUCCAAGAACAAUAAAAUGAUUCAUAGGCCCUACUUCCUGCAAGCCAUCAUUUUCCCACGGGUUAUUUGCAAUUUUAGAAGGUGAAGGAAAGACUUGAAAGACAAAGAGAACACCUUCUUGGUUGAAUUUCUUGCAUGCACCCUUAAAAUCACACGACUCAGACCAUCUCUUCAUUUACCCUUAUACCUCUGUUAUCAAAGUCAGUGAAUUCAAUAGACACCAGGCUGAUCAAUGGAACUCCUCAGUGUGCAUGAUCUGAAAUACAAGGAUCCAGAAAACCAAAAUAACUGAAGACAGACAGGAGGAUGAGUGACUCGCCUACAGUCACAAAGGAAACACUUACAAUGGCUUAUCCUUAUUGGUAUAAGAAAUAACAAGGAAUCAUGAUAUCGAAUAAUUAUUUUCCUCAAAAAACAAUGAAAUCCAAGAGCAUAUAUGGAUGGAUGAGUCAAGAGAAGUACUGGUAGGCAGGAAAAAAAAGUAAGUUUGAACUCAAAUGCCAGUAGGCAUGUUGUUUUCUAUGCUAGUGGAAUGAUUAUACCUACUUGAUAAACAUAUAAAUAAAUUCCCUUCAUAAUUUAACCUUUGCAAGUUGAAGUUGGAAUGUGGCAGAAAGUAUUUUGGGCUAAAUAUUACUCACGUGUAAGGAAUUGGUGUGAUAGAGGCACUCCCCUCCAGUCUGAGGUAGAAAAAAAAUGAACCAAAAAUCAAUCUUUUGAAAAGUGAUGAAAAUGCUUAUUUAUUCAUAGUAUACACAUUCAUUAAAUGUUUAUUAUGUAUGUAUAAAGCAUUGCUCAGGAUUAGAAACCUACUUUAUCUUACUUUGAUUCUUUUCAUUAUUUUCAUCUUUUGUUUUUACUUUAGAGCCAACACUUUUCAUGAAGAAAAAGAUGUGCAACUUAUUAGUAAUAUUAUCUAACAGAUCUGUUUAAUUUCCAGUGAUACCCUGUCCGAUUACAUUAGCUACACCAAAGCAAACACUGUAACUUUCAUGUGCAUGUGACAAUCUUUAAACUUCUGGGGCCACAGAAUGAAGGCAGGUAUGAGGCAGAUCAGAGGAAAUCCACCCUUCCUAGAGAAUUAGGGUAGGAGUUAGCUCUGUUCAUUUGGCUGUUUUGGGGGCAGUAUUGAAGGUUGAAGUCAGGGCUUUGCUAGGCAGGCACUCUACCAUGUUAGCCAUGCCCCAAGCCCUUUUGCUUUGGUUAUUUUAGA
This is a non-coding RNA of Castor canadensis (American beaver), 1422 nucleotides long. NCBI's taxonomy places the organism in Eukaryota, Metazoa, Chordata, Mammalia, Rodentia, Castoridae. The record is from RefSeq and is a predicted model, not a curated record.